CGUUACUCAUCGGGGAGCUAUUGACCUAAUUUAUGUUAGCGUCAGCUGAGAUCGAGCUAUCGCUUGGGACCCGUGUACCUGAACCAGAUAAUGCUGGCGUAGGAAUUGAGUUUGGAUUUGAA
This 122-nucleotide non-coding RNA is filed under the name Vibrio tubiashii. RNAcentral describes it as "TPP sequence". It matches the Rfam family "TPP riboswitch aptamer (THI element)". From Rfam's summary of the family: Vitamin B(1) in its active form thiamin pyrophosphate (TPP) is an essential coenzyme that is synthesised by coupling of pyrimidine and thiazole moieties in bacteria. The record is from RNAcentral. Lineage: Bacteria; Pseudomonadati; Pseudomonadota; Gammaproteobacteria; Vibrionales; Vibrionaceae.